ACACGACUACAUUAGAUACCCCCGUAGUCCCAGCUGUAAACGAUGCAGACUAGGUGUUUGGACGGCCACGUGCCGUUCUAGUGCCGCAGGGAAGCUGUUAAGUCUGCCACCUGGGGAGUACGAUCGCAAGAUUGAAACUUAAAGGAAUUGGCGGGGGAGCACCACAACGGGUGGAGCUUGCGGUUUAAUUGGAUUCAACGCCGGACAACUCACCAGGAGCGACGGUUACAUGAAGGCCAGGCUGAUGACCUUGCCUGAUUUUCCG
RNAcentral lists this ribosomal RNA (265 nucleotides) under uncultured archaeon. RNAcentral's name for it is "partial 16S ribosomal RNA". It matches the Rfam family "Archaeal small subunit ribosomal RNA", at positions 717 to 982 of the family's 1478-position model. The record is from RNAcentral.